Molecule: long non-coding RNA, 1579 nt
Organism: Gasterosteus aculeatus aculeatus (three-spined stickleback)
Lineage: Eukaryota; Metazoa; Chordata; Actinopteri; Perciformes; Gasterosteidae
Source: Ensembl
UUUUUCUCCUUUUGUGCCAAUAUAUUCAUAUAUUUUUUUUGCCCCAAAACCUUCACUGAGACGGCAGGAAUUGCUGUUGUGGUUCCUCGUUAUUUAAACUCCAUGAAAUUAAAGUUCCCCGAUUUGCUGCUGGACAAGUUUUAAAAAGCUGUGGUACGAAGUGGAGAAGACGUGGGAGGUUCUUCAUGGACACAGUUGCUUUUAAAGAUGUGUUACCUUUCCCACGUGGUCACGUGGAUGUUUCCCCAGGUCUUACUGAACGCCGUCGACCCGCUCAUUGCACUUAACCAGUUUGUUGAUUCAGAAAUGUUUAUUGUGUUUCAUCACCUUUCCCCCACCUUCUAAUUUUAUUUGUCUUUUACCUUUUUCGUCGGUCAGAGCAGCAGACCCUAAAUUCCCCCCCAAAACGCCCCACGCUCCCCUUGAGACUCACUGACUGAACCGAGCGGUCGCCCUGUAUGGCGGCGUUUCCUCCGCUACCGUCCACCCGUUUGUUCCUGGAAACGGACCAAUGGCGAAAAUACUUUUAUUGUGUGGAGUAAACACCCGGGGGGGGGGUGGGGGCGUCCGUGUGCCGUCGGGUGUCGGGUUUUUUUUCGCACCUGUGGCGUUGACGUCAUCUGAGUGGGGAUGUCGGGGUUUCCGGGACAGAAGACGCGGUGGAAGAUGGAAGGUACGAGUGUCCCCCCCCCACCCCCACUCCUACUAGACUCUGAGAACGAGGCAGGGGGGAGAGUUUCUGCCACUUGGAUGAAGAAGAGCAAGGAAAACCCUUUUUUUUCCCGUUUGGAUGCCCUCUUUACUUCAUGUUUGCCUUUUAUCGUGAAAUUCAGUAAUAUCAUUAAUAUUGAAAUUUAAAUAUAUCAAUUUUUAUCUUGUGUAUAGGUAUUUGUUGAAUUUUACUGUGGGUGGGUGGGUGAGUGUGUGUGUGUGUGUGUCUGAGGGUGUGUGAUGCAUGUGGCAUACUGGAUGAGGACGGCUGAGGAUAUGUGGUCUUUGAGAGGAAAAUAAGAAAAAAGAAGUGCCGCGAGUGUCGACGGGCUGCGGUUCCUUCAAAAACAGUCGGAAACCUUUUGAUUCCUUCCAUUGAGUGUCCUUGGGUUUGUGUUUUUGUCAAUCAAUGUCACUGCUAUGAAGUCUAGCCCAGUAUGAUUAAAUGUAAAAAAAUAAAUAAAAAAAACCUAAAAUGCAAUGUGGUCUACAUGAAAGCGUGUAUUAUAAAUUAAUAAAUCUUUAAAUAAGGCGACGUCCCUGGAUCCCCUUUUUCUAUUUCUUUAAUAAAUAAUCUGUAGGAACUAAAUACCCUUUGCAACAUACGUGUAGUUUACUUUGUCUCCCUGUAGGUGGCACCGCAUGGUGGGGCUGAUGGAGUCGAUGGGAGGAGGAGAUACCGUUUCAUUUUGGCUCAACCUGAUGCACUGGGACGAGUUAAACUGAUCUUCAGCAGCUUUCCUCAGGAAUCCGCUCCUGACGUGUAGCUGCAAGAAGUCCAGGUUUCCAGUUGACGCUGGCAGAGCGGCUCAGGAAAAGUGCCGUCAACCCACGUCUGUCAACGUGCUGCACCUCCAGAACCUGCUGC